This 441-nucleotide ribosomal RNA is filed under the name uncultured bacterium. Its description in RNAcentral is "partial 16S ribosomal RNA". It matches the Rfam family "Bacterial small subunit ribosomal RNA", at positions 338 to 795 of the family's 1533-position model. The record is from RNAcentral.
CCUACAGGAGGCAGCAGUGGGGAAUAUUGCACAAUGGGGGGAACCCUGAUGCAGCGACGCCGCGUGGGUGAAGGAGUAUUUCGGUAUGUAAAGCCCUAUCAGCAGGGAAGAACAAUGACGGUACCUGACUAAGAAGCACCGGCUAAAUACGUGCCAGCAGCCGCGGUAAUACGUAUGGUGCAAGCGUUAUCCGGAUUUACUGGGUGUAAAGGGAGCGCAGGCGGCGCGUUAAGCCUGGUGUGAAAGUCCGCGGCCCAACCGCGGGACUGCAUUGGGAACUGGCGCGCUGGAGUGCCGGAGGGGUAGGCGGAAUUCCUAGUGUAGCGGUGAAAUGCGUAGAUAUUAGGGGGAACACCAGUGGCGAAGGCGGCCUACUGGACGGUGACUGACGCUGAGGCUCGAAAGCGUGGGGAGCAAACAGGAUUAGAUACCCUUGUAGUC